UUGGUUUAUAAAAUCGAAAAAUUAAUCAUUUAAUUCAUUUUCCAUAAAAUUCACAAAAUCGAAUAAAACAUACUUUAGAUAAUUAAGACGAUAGUAAGUUUAGUCACUAUUUUGGGAGUUGAAUUCCAAGUACUCCGAUUCUUGAUCCUCGGGUACUAUCUCUUUACUUUUGCCAGAAUGCUCACCACCUAGACAUAAUGCACAAUAAGCCAUUUACUACAUUAUGCUAAAUUGUUAUAAAACCAAUUCAGGCUUUAUACUAAUGUAUGAAAUGGGAUGNN
This 281-nucleotide long non-coding RNA is filed under the name Theobroma cacao (cacao). RNAcentral's name for it is "long non-coding RNA (TCAC_LNC002403)". Lineage: Eukaryota; Viridiplantae; Streptophyta; Magnoliopsida; Malvales; Malvaceae. The record is from RNAcentral.